UCCGCCAUUUCAAAGUAGCACAAUCGCUCUCGCCACAUAAUGAAAGAGACCUCGCAUUUCUUUAGUGAGCAUUUGACAGAUCGGGAAAGUUUUGCUCCUGGCACUCAAACGGGAAGAGACUUUGGAACCCGCUCACAACCCCAACUGGCUGUAUUUAAUUCAUGUUCAAGUCCAUCAAACAUUGAAGGCUUGUAAACGUUGUGUUAUCUUUCGUUGCACUCAUUAUGCAUUGAGUAAAUAGCGCGAACAUCAGAAACAAAUGAACAUCGAACUUUGACAUUUAUAUAAUCGUCACUAGUGACACGAGUUUGUCAAUCGAGAGCUUCCCUUCCAUUUAUAAAUCAAAAUGUGUCCUUAAGCUCUACCUACAACAGCGGACAUCAACCCUCGGGACUUCGACAAAAGCAGAAAAAAAUAGUAAUAUUAUUAUUCCAAGAGAAUUUGGCAAGUUGAUUGAGCUUCACAAAACAAUGCCAGAGGCUCGUGUAAACUACCGAGGACAUAACUUGUAGUUUGAUAUCUUUACGCUCAUGAGUCUGGAGUUUAGGAAAUUCGUUAAAGUGCGAAGAUGUUGCAUACACGCAAACUUCCAACAAUCUCUAACAACUUGCUAUUUUGAUGCCGCUCAGCCGGGAAUCAGAGGGAAGAUUUAGAAUUGCGUCGGAGAAAUUCAAAGACUGUAGGCAUUCUGGUUGUCACUGUCGUACUACAAUGGUAACCUGAGGUGACUGAAGCUUUCAAUGUUGUGGAAACUGAUUUAUUCAUCAAUUAAUGGUUUUAAAAAAAACACUCAAAAAGGUGCAGCAAAUUCACACUGAUCCAUUAAUGAUUGAAAAGAGGAAUUCUCAUUCAUUUGCCUCAUCAAAAACAAAAAGGAACAUAAAAUUUUGCUGAUACUUACAGACUGAUACAGUCUGAAAAAUGGAAGCAGUUGAUACAAGAGUUGGCCAUUCAGCCUUUUGAUUGGUUGACCAUUCAACUAGAUCAUGACUACUCUGUAAAUAAAUUCAAUUUAUCCCAGUUUGUGUAAUAUCUCCUGACACUAUUACUCAAAAAAACCCUCUCAGUCUCAGUCUUGCAAAUGUCAGUUGUCCUGCAUUUCACAGUAUUUUGGGUGGGUUGGCAGGACAAUGGGCGAGAGACAGAGAAAAAAAGAGUUCAGAUUUUCAUUACCUUUUGUCUGAAAGGUGUUUCUUGAUCUUGCUUGCAGGGAUGAGGUCAGUCUAUUUAGCUCCCAAGAUUUUUCUGCCCUUCAAUUAAAUCUUGGCUGAACUGCAACCUACCUCCACAAUCCUAACUUUGUCCAUUACUCUAAACACCUUGCUAAAAGUUUCAGAUUUACCAAUGACCAAGCAUUUUCUUGUGUUUGUUCAUGGGAUUGGAGUGUGGCUGGCUAGGUCAACAUUUACUUCCCAUUUCACACUGCCCAGAAGCAAGUUCAGAAUCAACCCAUUGCUUUGGCUCUGAAGUGGCAUGUAGGCCAGACAGGAUAUGAAUAGUAGAUUUCCUACCAUAAGAAGGAUAUUAAUGAGCCAAGUUUAUUAAAAAAAAAACAAUCGCACUAAAAACUUACUUUUUAUUCCAAAUUUUUAUUGAAUUCAAGUUUCACCAUCUGCCAUGGUGAGAUUCAAAUGCAUAUCCCCAGAACAUUAGCCUGGGAUUCUGGAUUAGUAGGCCAUUUAGUUACAUUAUCAUGACAUCAAUAUCUCCUCUUUGCUGAAGGGAGCUCCAAAUUUCUACUGCUGUUUCUGUACAGACACAUUUCAGCUUUGCAAAAGGCGUUAGAAUAAAACAGAAUGAUUAAAAUUAACAUGUCAAUGCAAUCUGAAAAGACAAUGUUCAACGUGUAACUUUCUUAUAGCGCCUUUUUGUUAGAGAAUUAUUUUUGAAUUAUGUUUACAUGGGAUAGAUCACAAUGUACUUUUAAUUUUAUUUUAUUAAAUGCUACUCAAUGCAAUAGUGAAGGGCUCUUGCAUGGGCUAGAAACCUCAUGUAAAUGAAAGUCAGGUAAACGUGUUUCAUGGAUAUAAAUGUUAUCAUCCUAUCUUCUUUCUCAUACUGGGACAAGCGUGUGAUGCAAUAUCUUGUUCUACAGUUGUCACUUCCACCACUGAAAUGAUACAGGAUGGGAUGGAAAUGAUGCACUGAAUUGAUGUCAAACAUUCAGAAUUACUGGGGAACAAGUUUAUCUACAGUACUUCCUCAAUAGCACAGUCCAUCUUUCACAAGUCAACACAACCAAAUUAAUACUCCAUUUUCAGUUUGAAUUAUAACAUUGUCUCCUCUAGCACAUAUUAGAGAAGUACUUCUACUGAUUUCCCAUUCAGUAAGAUUGUAAAUCGCCUUGACAUGAAUAACUACUUUUAUAUUUGGUCAAUAAAAAAAAAACUAUGAACCUGGAUUCAUUAAUUCAAUGUAUCAGUGUUAAUAUUAGCAAAUGUACACUUGUUUAAAUACAGCAGCAGUUUGUAUUUACAUGAUAAGAUCCUACAGUAAAUGAUUAAACAAAAUAACAAAUAGAUUUACAGAGAACAAUAAAAGAAACUCAAGGACUUGGAGCAUCAAAUUCACGUAGAAUGUUUUAGCUGAUUGUUUAUUCUUCUGCCACUCCUAUUGUAGAUGAGUUUAUUCAUUACAGCAGGGUUUUGGUUUCUAUUACUUAUAGUUGCCAGGUUGUAAAGUGUAUUUGCUUGAAUGCAACAGUAAUUGAUACAUAAUACACACCACUUUCCAAGAUGUAACACU
Non-coding RNA from Chiloscyllium plagiosum (whitespotted bambooshark), 2745 nucleotides. The record is from RefSeq and is a predicted model, not a curated record. Lineage: Eukaryota; Metazoa; Chordata; Chondrichthyes; Orectolobiformes; Hemiscylliidae.